UGGGGAAUUUUGGACAAUGGGCGAAAGCCUGAUCCAGCAAUGCCGCGUGUGNGAAGAAGGCCUUCGGGUUGUAAAGCACUUUUGUCCGGAAAGAAAUCCUUGGCUCUAAUACAGUCGGGGGAUGACGGUACCGGAAGAAUAAGCACCGGCUAACUACGUGCCAGCAGCCGCGGUAAUACGUAGGGUGCAAGCGUUAAUCGGAAUUACUGGGCGUAAAGCGUGCGCAGGCGGUUUGCUAAGACCGAUGUGAAAUCCCCGGGCUCAACCUGGGAACUGCAUUGGUGACUGGCAGGCUAGAGUAUGGCAGAGGGGGGUAGAAUUCCACGUGUAGCAGUGAAAUGCGUAGAGAUGUGGAGGAAUACCGAUGGCGAAGGCAGCCCCCUGGGCCAAUACUGACGCUCAUGCACGAAAGCGUGGGGAGCAAACAGGAUUAGAUACCCUGGUAGUCCACGCCCUAAACGAUGUCAACUAGUUGUUGGGGACUUCAUUUCCUUAGUAACGUAGCUAACGCGUGAAGUUGACCGCCUGGGGAGUACGGUCGCAAGAUUAAAACUCAAAGGAAUUGACGGGGUCAUAGCUGUUUCCU
Molecule: ribosomal RNA, 586 nt
Filed under: uncultured bacterium
Lineage: Bacteria
Description: partial 16S ribosomal RNA
Rfam family: Bacterial small subunit ribosomal RNA
Source: RNAcentral